UUCACCUCAUAACUUUCCUUAAAAAGUUAUCCAUAUGGAUAACAGUGCCUUACUGCCCUUACUGAAAACAACAGUGUGAUCUCAGGCCAAGCUAAACCCCAUGAGAGAUAAACAACCUUGUUGCGGUUUAUGCAAUGUUUACUCAAGCUGUUCACUGUUUAUUUCCAUUUUUGAGCCUCAGUUGACAUUUUCCUGAGUGCAGAUUCACACUAAGAAAACGAAGACCAGAAAUACCCACUUAAAAUGAGCAAUUUAUUGCUUAAGAUUCAAUCUGAGAAUUCAUGAGUUGGUAGAUUUCAGAGGUGACUUAUUUCAUUUUUUAAAAGCAUUUGAAACAAGCUUCUGAGAAGAAGUGGAGUAUUUGGUUUCUUUGGUUGCCGAGUAACUUCAGAAACAAACACAGGGAGUCAGAUGGUCUGAACAGGAGUCUCACAGAGUUGAAGAAGGGCAGCCUGGUGCUCUAUGGACAGAAAAACACACCUGAAUCUGAAAUAUCUGAAGACAACUUUAUGUGGAGUCAACAGGAUUGUUGCUGCUGGUGUGCUUGUGUCUGGAGCUGGACCUGGAGUGGUCAAUCCUCCUAGAAGCUACAGGGCAACCCCUGCAAGAACAGCUUCAAUGCCCAUCAAUGUCCUGCAUGUUCCUUCCUGGAUCUAGACGAGGCCUCAUUCUCUGGAUGCCCCAACACUGACAGUCACUUCAAAAUUAGAUUAAAAUGCUGAUGUUAAAUGUUUUGGAUAAGGCCACAUUUAUCCUUGUUUUAAAUGAGAAGCUCAGACAGAUCAGAGAGUGCACCAAGAAUUCCAGUGUAAGAACUGGUUUAGAGAUGGGCCUCACCUGCUUCUGUAUACUUGAGGCCCACUUUCUCCACCUCAUCCUUGGGCUUGGGGGGGGGCCAGAUAGCCUGUAGCCUCCCCGGUGUGCGGUCCUCACUAUCGGCUGGUGAGGUAGCCUCAGACUGCAGGACAAACAACAAAUUAACAGGUCACAGUCUGUAGCAAAACAUCAGCAUUAUAUGCAACAUUGGAGAGAUUCAAGGUUAAGAGUGAAGUUCUUGUAUAAAAAAACAUUGAUGUCGCUAAACAAGAGAACUGGACACAAACAUGUGCAUAACUUUUAAUUGCAAUUAUUCUUAAGCUAUUUACCACUCUAAAGUAAAUCAGCAAGAAAAUGUAAUUAAGGUCCACUAAAGCAUCUUAACAUGGCACUUCAUAUGGUUGGAGUGCAACAUUCAGACAGCUGUCAGGUUGUUUUUUGCACCAGAAUUUUUUUAUAUUAAAAUGGAAAAUCAGAGGAGUUAUGUUACUAAUAUGAAACACUACUUUUAAUCCUAUAUUUCUACAAAAUUGAUGAUGCAUUUACAUUAGUUUGUCAGCUAUCUUAGCAAUAAAAUUGUACAGAACACACAGUUGCAUUAAGCUGAAAAGAUGAGAGUAAGUUGCAGAAAGUUGCUUGCAAUGACAUACUUUUCCAUCUGUUAAGUCUUUAUUAUCAGCUGAUUUGGAAAAAGAUCUCUCAAAUAUUGCUUUCAGAACCUCUUUCUCAUUUUUGAUUUUCCUCUUCACAGCUUCCAGGUCCGCAGCCUCUAAAGAAUCCUUUCUAGGUGGUUUUGGGGUAAAAAAUGCUUUAAAUGUGUCAAACGGUGUUUCCAGGACUUUGUCAGCAUCCUCCGUUGAGGUGGCUGUGUGCAGAUUCCCCUCUGUCCCCUCUUCUCUCGGGUGGGGCACUUGGUCAGCCAAUGGCUCAAUCGCAGGCUCCUUUCCCUCAGUUUUGCCGCUGUCCAGGGUGAGGCGCUGGGUCAGCUGCUCCAAAAAGUUGCUCUUGAAUUCAAGCACAGCUCUGGGCUUCUUGCUCUGCAGUGGCUCAGUGAAAAACCGGGCUUUGUUGACCGGCUUCUUUAGCUCGAGUAGUGCCAAGUCUGUGUCUCUUUGUUUGAUUUCGGCCACUGUCUCCCUCUCCUCCCCCACUGCUCCUUUCUUCAGUACCCGUAACCCACUGAAGAGGGCGGGGAGCUGGAAGGGCUUCUCCCCAGGGGUACUGGAAGGAAGCUGCAUGGCCCCAGAGAGAGAUUCAUGGGCUGGAUCGAUGUCUUUGAUGGGUGUCUCCUGAGCACUGUGCAGUCUGAAGAUGGGUACCCGCUGCUCAACAUCAUGUGGCUCCUUGGAGAGUACAUGGCUUCUAAAC
Brienomyrus brachyistius is the source of this 2184-nucleotide long non-coding RNA. RefSeq lists it as uncharacterized. Lineage: Eukaryota; Metazoa; Chordata; Actinopteri; Osteoglossiformes; Mormyridae. The record is from RefSeq and is a predicted model, not a curated record. The transcript has 4 exons.